RNAcentral lists this non-coding RNA (66 nucleotides) under unclassified sequences. RNAcentral's name for it is "S15-Flavobacteria ribosomal protein leader". It matches the Rfam family "S15-Flavobacteria ribosomal protein leader". The record is from RNAcentral.
UAUAUUUGCGCGUCCAAUAUAAAUUUAUAUUGGUUACAUAAAAAUUAUUUACAAAAUAUUGGCAUG